ACGGGGUGCAGCAGGCGCGAAACCUCCGCAAUGUGAGAAAUCGCGACGGGGGGAUCCCAAGUGCCAUUCUUAGCGGGAUGGCUUUUCAUUAGUGUAAAGAGCUUUUGGAAUAAGGGCUGGGCAAGACCGGGGCCAGCCGCCGCGGUAACACCGGCAGCCCUAGUGGUAGCAGUUUUUAUUGGGCCUAAAGCGUCCGUAGCCGGUUUAAUAAGUCUCUGGUGAAAUCCUGUAGCUUAACUGUGGGAAUUGCUGGAGAUACUAUUAGACUUGAGACUGGGAGAGGUUAGAGGUACUCCCAGGGUAGAGGUGAAAUUCUGUAAUCCUGGGAGGACCGCCUGUUGCGAAGGCGUCUAGCUGGAACGGUUCUGACGGUGAGGGACGAAAGUUAGGGGCGCGAACCGGAUUAGAUACCCGGGUAGUCCUUAACUGUAAACGAUGCGGACUUGGUGUUGGGGUGGCUUUGAGCUGUUCCAGUGCCGAAGGGAAGCUGUUUAAGUCCGCCGCCUGGGAAGUACGGUCGCAAGACUGAAACUUAAAGGAAUUGGCGGGGGGAGCAC
RNAcentral lists this ribosomal RNA (557 nucleotides) under uncultured archaeon. RNAcentral describes it as "bacterial SSU rRNA". It matches the Rfam family "Archaeal small subunit ribosomal RNA", at positions 325 to 879 of the family's 1478-position model. The record is from RNAcentral.